Molecule: ribosomal RNA, 443 nt
Filed under: uncultured bacterium
Lineage: Bacteria
Description: bacterial SSU rRNA
Rfam family: Bacterial small subunit ribosomal RNA
Source: RNAcentral
GAUGAACGCUAGCGGCAGGCCUAAUACAUGCAAGUCGAACGGCCCCGACACUUCGGUGUCGGGGUAGUGGCGCACGGGUGCGUAACGCGUGGGAAUCUGCCCUUGGGUUCGGAAUAACUCAGAGAAAUUUGAGCUAAUACCGGAUGAUGACGUAAGUCCAAAGAUUUAUCGCCCAAGGAUGAGCCCGCGUAAGAUUAGCUAGUUGGUGGGGUAAAGGCCUACCAAGGCGACGAUCUUUAGCUGGUCUGAGAGGAUGAUCAGCCACACUGGGACUGAGACACGGCCCAGACUCCUACGGGAGGCAGCAGUGGGGAAUAUUGGACAAUGGGCGAAAGCCUGAUCCAGCAAUGCCGCGUGAGUGAUGAAGGCCUUAGGGUUGUAAAGCUCUUUUACCAGGGAUGAUAAUGACAGUACCUGGAGAAUAAGCUCCGGCUAACUCCGUG